GUCUGGAGUGGUACUUCCAGAGGUCUUAUGAUGCUAAAGUUAGUGAAAUAUUCACUCUUGUAAUUAAAGAACUAUAUUAAAUGUACAGUUAAUCAAUCCAAUCCCUGGGCGACACACGUGCUACAAUGGAUGGGACAAAGGAUCUCGAUCCCGUGAGGGUGAGCUAAUUCCAAAAAUCCGUCCUCAGUUCGGAUUGUAGGCUGCAACUCGCCUGCAUGAAGCCGGAAUCGCUAGUAAUCGUCGGUCAGCCAUACGGCAGUGAAUUCGUUUCCGGGC
RNAcentral lists this non-coding RNA (276 nucleotides) under Vigna radiata var. radiata (mung bean). RNAcentral describes it as "Bacterial small subunit ribosomal RNA". It matches the Rfam family "Bacterial small subunit ribosomal RNA", at positions 989 to 1379 of the family's 1533-position model. Lineage: Eukaryota; Viridiplantae; Streptophyta; Magnoliopsida; Fabales; Fabaceae. The record is from Rfam by way of RNAcentral.